RNAcentral lists this non-coding RNA (27 nucleotides) under Homo sapiens (human). Lineage: Eukaryota; Metazoa; Chordata; Mammalia; Primates; Hominidae. The record is from RNAcentral.
UCACACAAGCGCCUAUAAAUCCCAAGC